RNAcentral lists this long non-coding RNA (870 nucleotides) under Bos taurus (domestic cattle). Its description in RNAcentral is "long non-coding RNA NONBTAT000912". The record is from RNAcentral. Lineage: Eukaryota; Metazoa; Chordata; Mammalia; Artiodactyla; Bovidae.
CUGGAGUUGGGGAGCAUGACCCCAUUCUCAAGAAGGGGGAGAGGAGCAUAAGGAAGCCACUUCUUAGAAGUGAGGCAAAGUUAGAGCAGGACUAGCAGUAAGACCUGUUUGCUGUGGGGCCUCUGGGCUGCUUGGCUAGUCUCUUGUUUUGCUGGACCAAGAGAGAGAGGCCCAGAGGCUCUGAUGAGGUGGAAUCGGUCAGGGAGGCUAAAGGGCCCCAGUUGCCAAGGCUGAUCUGAAAUGGGUAGGGGGCUAAGCUCACCCAAACAUCAACAGAUAAAUAUUCUCUUCUUAGCUUUCAUCACAUUCUACAUGCAUUGGCCUCAGGAAAUACCCACCCACCCACCCACACAGAGCUCUUGAACUCAAAGAAGCUGUGCUCUCAGGGAAGUGCAAAUAUAUGCUUAUAGCUGUGAAAAUAGAGCUUUGCUAUUUAUGAAAGUCCUUGAGGUACUGUUGUUAUUUACUUAUCCUACUUGAUUUUGAAAAAGAGAAAUACUCAGUAAAAUUUUCAAAGUGGGUAAACACCACUGGAAUUUCUUAUGUAAAGUCCUAACUUGGGGUUGCAAAAGCCUUUUUCUCCUUAGUAUCUGAUCUGGGUGUUGUAUGAGAUCUCCUCAUUUGAGGAGUCAACUUUCAUGGAAAUCUGUAAAUAUCUCAAACAUGGCUACUACAAAACUAAUUUUUACAGGUCAGGUUUUCAUAUUUUUAGAUAAAAAUAUUAACAAAAUCCUUAGUUAACCAAAUCCUUCAAGCAUUUUGGUUACAUGAAGUUGUAUUUUUUUUAAGUGAUCAAACCAAAGAUACCAUUUAUGGGUAAAAAUCAAAUAAAGUUUUUAUUUAUUCAGUAUGUAUGGAGUAUGAAUGGAG